Haliotis rufescens (red abalone) is the source of this 346-nucleotide long non-coding RNA. RefSeq lists it as uncharacterized. The transcript is spliced from 3 exons. NCBI's taxonomy places the organism in Eukaryota, Metazoa, Mollusca, Gastropoda, Lepetellida, Haliotidae. The record is from RefSeq and is a predicted model, not a curated record.
UGGUAUAAAUGUAAGUGCCAGAGGGUCUGCUUACCAGUUACAGUUCAAGCAAUUGAGAGUAAUCUACAAUGAAGGUCCUAGCAACAGUCCUGGUUCUCUGCAUCGCCGUUGCAGCCGUGAUGGCGCAUGUCCCCUAUGUGCGGCCCCACUAUGGGGUCUACCCGGAGCCGUAUGGCUACGCAGAGCCUUACUAUCGUACUGGGCUGUAUUAUCCACGCGCUGAGCCAUAUUUCAACAAUUUUGGCUACAAAGGAUAGAUGCCUGGCGAAAGAUGAAGCUGUCGCGCCGCAGAUGUUGCAGCAUUUACGGAAUUACAUGUGACGCUUUGAAUAAAUAAUUCGAAGUC